UACGAAAGGGGCUAGCGUUGUUCGGAAUCACUGGGCGUAAAGCGCACGUAGGCGGAUCUUUAAGUCAGGGGUGAAAUCCCGAGGCUCAACCUCGGAACUGCCUUUGAUACUGGGGAUCUCGAGUCCGGGAGAGGUGAGUGGAACUGCGAGUGUAGAGGUGAAAUUCGUAGAUAUUCGCAAGAACACCAGUGGCGAAGGCGGCUCACUGGCCCGGAACUGACGCUGAGGUGCGAAAGCGUGGGGAGCAAACAGG
Molecule: ribosomal RNA, 253 nt
Filed under: uncultured bacterium
Lineage: Bacteria
Description: partial 16S ribosomal RNA
Rfam family: Bacterial small subunit ribosomal RNA
Source: RNAcentral